Molecule: ribosomal RNA, 254 nt
Filed under: uncultured bacterium
Lineage: Bacteria
Description: partial 16S ribosomal RNA
Rfam family: Bacterial small subunit ribosomal RNA
Source: RNAcentral
UACGUAGGGCGCAAGCGUUGUCCGGAAUUAUUGGGCGUAAAGAGCUCGUAGGCGGUUUGUCGCGUCUGCCGUGAAAACCCGAGGCUUAACCUCGUGGCUUGCGGUGGAUACGGGCAGACUAGAGGUAGGUAGGGGAGAAUGGAAUUCCCGGUGUAGCGGUGAAAUGCGCAGAUAUCGGGAGGAACACCGGUGGCGAAGGCGGUUCUCUGGGCCUUACCUGACGCUCAUGCACGAAAGCGUGGGGAGCAAACAGG